AGAGUUUGAUCAUGGCUCAGGACGAACGCUGGCGGCGUGCCUGAAUACAUGCAAGUAGAACGCUGAAGACUGGUGCUUGCACUAGUCAGAUGAGUUGCGAACGGGUGAGUAACGCGUAGGUAACCUACCUCAUAGCGGGGGAUAACUAUUGGAAACGAUAGCUAAUACCGCAUGACAAUUAAGUACUCAUGUACUAAAUUUAAAAGGAGCAAUUGCUUCACUAUGAGAUGGACCUGCGUUGUAUUAGCUAGUUGGUGAGGUAACGGCUCACCAAGGCCACGAUACAUAGCCGACCUGAGAGGGUGAUCGGCCACACUGGGACUGAGACACGGCCCAGACUCCUACGGGAGGCAGCAGUAGGGAAUCUUCGGCAAUGGGGGCAACCCUGACCGAGCAACGCCGCGUGAGUGAAGAAGGUUUUCGGAUCGUAAAGCUCUGUUGUUAGAGAAGAACGGUAAUGGGAGUGGAAAAUCCAUUACGUGACGGUAACUAACCAGAAAGGGACGGCUAACUACGUGCCAGCAGCCGCGGUAAUACGUAGGUCUCGAGCGUUGUCCGGAUUUAUUGGGCGUAAAGCGAGCGCAGGCGGUUAUUUAAGUCUGAAGUUAAAGGCCGUGGCUCAACCAUGGUUCGCUUUGGAAACUGGAUAACUUGAGUGCAGAAGGGGAGAGUGGAAUUCCAUGUGUAGCGGUGAAAUGCGUAGAUAUAUGGAGGAACACCGGUGGCGAAAGCGGCUCUCUGGUCUGUAACUGACGCUGAGGCUCGAAAGCGUGGGGAGCAAACAGGAUUAGAUACCCUGGUAGUCCACGCCGUAAACGAUGAGUGCUAGGUGUUAGGCCCUUUCCGGGGCUUAGUGCCGCAGCU
This 864-nucleotide ribosomal RNA is filed under the name uncultured bacterium. RNAcentral's name for it is "bacterial SSU rRNA". It matches the Rfam family "Bacterial small subunit ribosomal RNA", at positions 8 to 853 of the family's 1533-position model. The record is from RNAcentral.